Molecule: transfer RNA, 72 nt
Filed under: Bos taurus (domestic cattle)
Lineage: Eukaryota; Metazoa; Chordata; Mammalia; Artiodactyla; Bovidae
Also listed under: 3 other names
Rfam family: tRNA
About the family: Transfer RNA (tRNA) molecules are approximately 80 nucleotides in length. Their secondary structure includes four short double-helical elements and three loops (D, anti-codon, and T loops).
Source: Rfam by way of RNAcentral
UCCCUGGUGGCUCAGAUGGUACAGAAUCUGCUUGCAAUGCAGAAGACCCAGGUUUGAUCCCUGGGUAAGGAA